CGUCCAAUCGUCGUCCGCAUGAAGAAAAGUGGAUUCAUUUUCAGGUUGUAAACAUUGGUUAAUUCUGAUGUAAGAUGAUGGAAAUUGGAUCUGAGAUUAGUCACAAGAUCCGGUCUGCUAUUAAGGCAAAACUGGUUGAACUUGGAGCCUAUGUAGAUGAAGAACUACCAGACUACAUCAUGGUCAUGGUGGCCAACAAGAAGAACAGUUUACAGAUGACGGAGGACCUUAAUCUCUUCCUUGGAUCAAACACAGAAAAGUUCACCACAUGGCUCCACAACCUGAUCAACAAGUUGCAGUCUAUAUCAAAUGAAACAGUAUCUGAUGACAAAGAAAAAAAGGAGAAGGAAAGAAAGAAAUCCACAGAAAAGAAGAAAGUCAUCUCUAGUGAUGUCCCAGCUGCUGUGCCAGUUAAGAAGGUUGAGAAGGCACCUGUUGUCCAGAAGGAGACAGUCAAGCCUAAAGUCAAUAAAGUGAAGGAGGUAGUUCAACCGAAGGAGCCGUCGCCUGUGCCUGACCUAGAAGAACCAGAGUUUACUGUCAGGGCAGAUACAGAUGAAUUCAGUGAAGAAAUGAAAGAGAUAGAGAAACAGGCUGAGGCAAAGAGAGCCCCCAUCCAACCGACAACCACAGCUCCCCCUGUUGUAAUCCCCACCCCUAAGCCUGUAGUCACCACCCCACCAGCUCCCGUAACCGUAGUGAAGGAGCCACCACCGGUGCGACCCACAGCUACUGCUGUGUCGCGACUAAGUGACAGAAAGACUGUUGUGCGAUCAGAGUCCCGGCAUGAAGGGAGGUCUGUUGUGUCAUCAGACAAACCAGCCCAAGUCGUCAGAAGGACAGCAGUUUUGAAGUCUUCCAGUGUAGCUCUGAAGCGGAAAGCCCCCAGUUCUGUGGUGAAGCCCAUGUCUAGUCGUGCAGAAGAAGAGGAGGAGGAGUACGACCCUCACAAUCCAUCUGUGGGCAGUGUUGCCAGUGUAGUGCGAGUCACGGCAAGGAAGUCUAGUGUACCCAGAUCACUACAAGCCAACAAGAUGCUGCUGAUGAAGGCUAUGACAGAUGCAGAGAAAUCUGUCACCACCACUGGCAAGCGAUCAGUCACAGUCACAGACAACAAACCAGAACGAAGCCAGCAACGAUCUCAGUACAACAGCAGUAGGGCUACAGUAUUAGCUGAUAAAAAUGUGACGCGAUCCUACAACACCACUCCAUCCUACAACACCACUCGGCCUAGCCUGGUGUCUCGCUCCAAGAAGGAGGAGAUCAUGAGGAAAAUGAAGUACACCAUCGAGGUUGAGUCACCCCACGAUUCACCUGAGGAACCAGGCUCUGAGGAGGAGCCGGUGCCUGACAACCGAGUUGUCGAGGUGGACCCAGAGGAGGAGGUGGAGCAGGUAGUGUCAAGUCCAGAAGCAGUGGCUGGAGCAUCUGACUCUGACCCCGGGGCAGAGGUUGAGACGGUGGUGGAGGAAGAGGAUGCAAUCGGUGUCGGAGACGAGGAGGAGGAGGAGACGGAGCAGGGGGAAGAAGAGAUACCUGUCAUCCUGGAGGAUGUGGCUUCAGACGAGUUCCGUCACAUUCUGGACACGGAAGGGAGUCAGGUUCAAGGCAGGCUACAGCAGCAGGAGGAGGUCAUGGCAGAGGAGGAGGGUGAUGGCAACUCCAGGGUAGUCAAAGACAAUUCCAAGAACACCAAGUUUAUUGUUACUCUGGAUGGUGUUGACCCAGACCAGUAUGAGAGCAUGGAGGUGGACAUGGAGGACACAGGCGAAUCUACACGGGUCAUGGAUGUCACGUCCCGAGUGGCUCCACCCAGAAUCAAACCUUUCUCUAUCAACCUCAAGGAUUCGGAUGAGGAAGAAGACCAUUCUAUUACCCCCCUGAAGAAGGCAAAAAUGGCAGAAAAGUGCCGAUUUUGGCCAGCAUGUGUUAAUGGCAAUGCAUGUGAAUAUCACCAUCCCACAGUCAGUUGCAAAACAUUCCCCAGCUGCAAGUUCGGAGAUAAAUGUUUGUAUAUUCACCCAAAUUGUAAAUAUGAUGCCCGGUGUACAAAAACAGAUUGUCCAUUUACACAUGCAAGUAGAAGAAAACCUAUGACUACAUCACCUCCACAAGUUAUUGCCAUCCCCCAGCCCAAGGUAAUAUUAGCUGCCCCCAUGGCCCCUGUACCUGCUGCAUCAACACAUCCUCGCCAGAUCACCUGUAGAUUCUUCCCCAACUGCCACAACAUGAAGUGUCCCUUUAAACAUCCAAAGCCUUGUAGAUAUGGGUUAAGCUGUGCCAAGAAGGCAGCUUGCCCUUUCUUUCACCCAGCCCUGCCAAGCAAAGACAAGCUGACAUGGAAGGCUGGCAACGUGGAGCAUAGGAGUGCCACUAACCCAAAUGGCAUCAAGGCUUCUUGAUCUUCGCUAUGUGACUGUUGUGUGGAUGUGUUUUACGUGAUACCUUGACCAGUUCCUGGUGUCGUCAGUGGUUGUAAGGAUUUCACACUCUGAGCUGAGAAGACCAACAGUACCAAACUUCUCAUAGUGAUCAAACCUUGAGCUUUUUAUACUAUUGCUGCCACCAGUCACAACUCCUAGCUGUGCUAGUCACUGCUAGGUGGCCAAAUCCCUGCAUGAAGCUACACUCGCAUUCUUUUCCAAACAAGCAAUGACAUGCUGUUCAUGUAUUAGCAGGUUAUUCUAGUUCAUUUCAACUACAAGAUAUAAACUUUGAUAAACAAAUAUCAUAAGAAUGUAAGUUAACACUUUUGGCUGCUUUUCAAAUGUCAGGAACAUAAGGUCAAUUAGUUCUAAUGAAUGUGUGUAUAUUUUUCUGGGAAAUUAUCAGGUUAUUUCACAAUGAACUUAAAUGAUGGAAACACGCAAGGAACAUUUUGGUUUUGAAAGAAAGUUUCAAAUUCAUUGUACUAGAUACAGCUUCACAGGUUGCAGCAAUGACAAAUAGAGACAAAUGAAGCUGGCAGUGACUUUUAAAGAAAAUACCACAGAUAAAUUACUAUCCAAACAACCACCUCACACACUGAUGUGUACAAGUGAGUUCGUACAAGUGCACAUGCUGAGUGCAUGUUGAUUGUGAUAUGACUCUGAAGCUUGGAUUUGUGGGUCUGUACAGGCCGACCUGGUCCAGGUGCUGAAUGUGGACAAGAAGAUAUGACUCUGAUGUGUUAGAUUCUAGCUGAAGCUUGGAUUUGUGGGUCUGUACAGGCCGACCUGGUCCAGGUGCUGAAUGUGGACAAGAAGAUAUGACUGUGAUGUGUUGGAUUCUAGCUGAAGCUUGGAUUUGUGGGUCUGUACAGGCCGACCUGGUCCAGGUGCUGGAUGUGGGGAUGAUAGGAUGAGACACUGAUGCUAAGGUUCUGUCCAGACAGACGGAACAGGCUGCAGGACAUUACAUUGUCCAAGUUGAUCAGUUGUUUAAGCCACAUGUUGUGUUGUUGGCAGUUUUUGGAUUGUUGUACGUGUAUUGCCAUAUUAUUUAUAAAUACUGAGGUCAAUGAGAAUUCAUGUAGUUAGUUAAAGCCUUAACAUCCUUUUUAAUUUGGUUUAUGUGUGUGUAUUUUGCAAAACAAUAUUGCGAUCAAAAUACUAAUGCAAAUUAAUUUGAGAAAAGCAACUGUGUUCUUAUCAGACUUAUCAUGCUUAGUGAGUGGUUGCGCGUUGAUAUUUAAAAUAUGUUACGAAAGAAUAUGAUCUGGUGGGACUGAUUUUUUGAAUGACAAGUCAAAGAGUCAUGUCCCUUCCAAUUUCGUUUUUGAGGUAUUACUGAUUUUUACUGUAUUUGUUUUUUAACCUAAUCAGCCUGAUGAAGAAAAGUUGGGAAAAACAUUGUGAUGUUUGGAUUGAGUGAUUCACACACGUUUUUUCCAGAAUAAUUUUACACACAAGCAGUGAAAAUGUACAACUUCUUUAUAUGAUAUAAAUAGGAGCUGUUUUGGAAAGGUGCCCAUGUAUCCAAAACAUUUUUAUAAUUAUCCCUCUGUACACAGAACAUUUUGUGUUUAUUAAAAGCAUAUAAUGAA
RNAcentral lists this unclassified non-coding RNA (4024 nucleotides) under Haliotis rubra (blacklip abalone). Its description in RNAcentral is "zinc finger CCCH domain-containing protein 14-like, transcript variant X1". The record is from RNAcentral. Lineage: Eukaryota; Metazoa; Mollusca; Gastropoda; Lepetellida; Haliotidae.